UCCCCUGUGGCUAGGUUGGUAGAGCAUGGUGUGUGCAACGCCAGGGUUGUGGGUUCGAUUCCCACAGGGGGCC
Non-coding RNA from Salmo salar (Atlantic salmon), 73 nucleotides. NCBI's taxonomy places the organism in Eukaryota, Metazoa, Chordata, Actinopteri, Salmoniformes, Salmonidae. The record is from Rfam.